Molecule: ribosomal RNA, 254 nt
Filed under: uncultured bacterium
Lineage: Bacteria
Description: partial 16S ribosomal RNA
Rfam family: Bacterial small subunit ribosomal RNA
Source: RNAcentral
CAGAGGGUGCAAGCGUUAAUCGGGAUUUACUGGGCGUAAAGCGCGCGUAGGUGGCCAAUUAAGUCAAAUGUGAAAUCCCCGAGCUUAACUUGGGAAUUGCAUUCGAUACUGGUUGGCUAGAGUAUGGGAGAGGAUGGUAGAAUUCCAGGUGUAGCGGUGAAAUGCGUAGAGAUCUGGAGGAAUACCGAUGGCGAAGGCAGCCAUCUGGCCUAAUACUGACACUGAGGUGCGAAAGCAUGGGAGCAAACAGGAUU